This 269-nucleotide long non-coding RNA is filed under the name Prunus dulcis (almond). RNAcentral describes it as "sRNA ncRNA". The record is from RNAcentral. Lineage: Eukaryota; Viridiplantae; Streptophyta; Magnoliopsida; Rosales; Rosaceae.
CUGCAAUGCUGCACACUGAGAAUGGCGUAAACAUCGACAUCGUCAGCCCCUUUUGCUUAACCUCUUCAACCUCAGAAUCUUCAUAAAAGUGCAUAUCGUACAGCACUCGUGCCAGCGUAUCGCUAAUAGGGUGCAGAAGUGUAACCAGCUUUGAACAUUUGGUAAAAGCAACAUAGGAGUCAUACACAGUUGCAGUAUGUCUGACGAAAUCAAUUUCGAUUGCAACCUAGUGGGACCCUUGAAGAUUAUAUGGAAAAUAGACCUUCUGG